This 378-nucleotide transfer-messenger RNA is filed under the name Peteryoungia ipomoeae. RNAcentral describes it as "Rhizobium ipomoeae transfer-messenger RNA". It matches the Rfam family "Alphaproteobacteria transfer-messenger RNA". Rfam says of the family: Bacterial tmRNA, also known as 10Sa RNA or SsrA, is named for its dual tRNA and mRNA-like properties. Its role is to liberate the mRNA from a stalled ribosome. Lineage: Bacteria; Pseudomonadati; Pseudomonadota; Alphaproteobacteria; Hyphomicrobiales; Rhizobiaceae. The record is from RNAcentral.
CCUCUUUUCAUCGGGGAUGGAAACACCUAUAUCAAACUUGCCGGGGCUUGCUCCGGCUAUGGCAAUAAACGGUCGGUGUAAUAAACCUAUUGGACCCGGGGGCGGUACCCGGCGCCUCCACCAAAAACCGGUCGGUGCGGAUCGCAUGGUCUGACCGGCUUUUGAUGGGGGCGAAAUAGGAUCGACAAGGGCGUAAAGAUCGAACUUUUGCUCGGCAUGAUACCGCCGUUAUCGGGUCACAAGUGUAGUUGCAAACGACAACAACGCUAAGGGUUAUGCUCUCGCUGCCUAAUGGCGGUGCGGGAAAUCCGAACCAAGUCCUCUAGGUUAGCCCCUUGAGGCGGGGUCCGAAGGCACCUGGCAACAGAAGCCUUCACC